GGAAAUUUAACAACUGCUGAAGAAAUUUUUCUUAAGCAAAAGAUUAUCUUUGGGGAAUGAGUAGUGAUAUGUUAUGGUCCCAACAACCAAAGGAAUUAACAGGGCAGGGUUAAGAAAAAUUAGAGCUGCAACUAUAUCACUAGAAAAUCUAUCAGAGCAGUUAUUAUGCCAUGAAACAGUGAUGAUUGGAUAAUGUAAAAUUCAGAGAAGAAAAUUUAAGAUUCUUUG
This 228-nucleotide unclassified non-coding RNA is filed under the name Hevea brasiliensis (rubber tree). The record is from RNAcentral. Lineage: Eukaryota; Viridiplantae; Streptophyta; Magnoliopsida; Malpighiales; Euphorbiaceae.